The sequence is a non-coding RNA, 385 nucleotides long. It matches the Rfam family "Bacterial RNase P class A". From Rfam's summary of the family: Ribonuclease P (RNase P) is a ubiquitous endoribonuclease, found in archaea, bacteria and eukarya as well as chloroplasts and mitochondria. Its best characterised activity is the generation of mature 5'-ends of tRNAs by cleaving the 5'-leader elements of precursor-tRNAs. The record is from Rfam.
AUAGCACCCCGGCCUGCCGCUGGCACGAAAGUGCGAGAGGAAAGUCCGGGCGACAUAGAGCACUCCGCUUCUGAAAAUGGAAGGCGAUGGUGACAUCGGGUAUAGGCAGAAGAAAACAACCGCCUUGCAAAAGGUAAGGGUGAGAAGGUGGAGCAAGAGACCACCAGGCACCAAGUGAUUGGUGUGCUGUGCCGGCCGGAGGUCGCAAGUUCAUGUAAACCGCAGGAUGAAAGCUGCUCGUUUGACAUUGCGUGACACGCAAUACUGCGGAGGGUGGAACGCUUGAGCCGUGGGGUGACCCAUGGAUUAGAUAAAUGGCAGGCGUUCUUGCCGGCCUUCUCGGCAGGCGAGAAUACAGAACCCGGCUUAUAGGGGUGCUAUUUCU